RNAcentral lists this non-coding RNA (176 nucleotides) under Candidatus Cloacimonadota bacterium. RNAcentral's name for it is "Candidatus Cloacimonetes bacterium (marine metagenome) 6S RNA". It matches the Rfam family "6S / SsrS RNA". From Rfam's summary of the family: E. coli 6S RNA was the first non coding RNA to be sequenced, but its function was unknown until recently. The record is from RNAcentral. Lineage: Bacteria; Pseudomonadati; Candidatus Cloacimonadota.
UUUUACCUGCGGUAUUCGUGAUAUUAUUUAUGUUUCUGAACUAAAUUAAAAUAGGGAAUCAAGCCAUUUGUGGCACAUAAGCCGGACAUGAUCCGGAUCUGUAAAGCAAACAAGGUAGGUACCCACCUUUGUAAAAGGUUCCGGAAAACGAUAGUACACGGUACUGCAGGAUUAUU